Molecule: RNA transcript, 4268 nt
Organism: Aplysia californica (California sea hare)
Lineage: Eukaryota; Metazoa; Mollusca; Gastropoda; Aplysiida; Aplysiidae
Gene name: 4-hydroxybenzoate polyprenyltransferase, mitochondrial
Exons: 9
Source: RefSeq, a predicted model, not a curated record
GGUUGCUGCUGGCUGACCCUAGCAGACGGCUGUGUCUGAGUCUGAGUGUCCUGCUGCACAACUGCACUGCACAUUGCACAUACCGACCGACAUGGCCCUCUAAAAUCGUCUUAGCUUCUGUGCCUGUGUUAGAUAAGAUCAUCGUACCUGGAUGUAAAAGGGUUCAUGUUUUGUUUGUUUCCAAAGAUUAGUGACCUGGGUCUAGAUAUUCACAAUGGCCUUAACAGUGGCCAGUUGUACUACUCUCCUGAGGACCAUAUCUAAAAGGGCAAGCACAUCACUUGGUGUUGCUAUCGGGAAACACCGUCAAGACGAUGUAGAUGUCUCCAUGACAGAGCGGCUGCAGACAUGUAAAAGAUUCAAUUCAUCCAUUAGCUGUUAUGGUGAAAAAAGUGCCAUUAAUGACCUUUCACUGGAAACUGUUCAUAACACUUUGAUGAAAAGGAGCAGGACAUCUUCUUUGCCAAAGUCAGACUCAUGGCAGUAUGCUCCAGUUUUUCAGUAUCCUAGUCCAAAACUCUCAUUGAGUAGCCAACACAACAUUCCACUUUGUUUGCAUCAACAUCCAGGCAGCCUAACUUUUUCUACAUUCUCCUCAAUGUGGACUAAUCCCAGUUCAAAUACCUCGAAAGCAUCUCACAGCACGCUCAGUAAAUCUCAUGCAGCCUUACUUCAUGUUUGUGAUUGUCAUCAAAAGUCACACAACAGCAUGAGUAGCUUCUCCCCAGCAAGACUUAUUCUAGAAUCGUCCCCAGGAAGUGUUCAACCUUAUCUCCGCCUGAUUAGAUUUGACAAACCAAUUGGUACAUGGCUGCUGUAUUGGCCUUGUACCUGGAGCAUUGCCUUGGCUGCCCAGCCUGGCUGUAUGCCGGACCCUAAGCUCCUUGCCCUCUUUGGUGCUGGAGCCUUCUUCAUGCGGGGUGCAGGCUGCAUCAUCAAUGACAUGUGGGACAAGGACUUUGAUGCCAAGGUUGAGAGAACCAAGCUUCGGCCUCUUGCUGCUGGAGAACUGACCAGCUUCCAGGCCUUGGUAUUUCUAGGCACCCAGCUGAGCUGUGCCCUCGCCAUAUUGUUGCAACUCAACUGGUACAGUGUUUUACUUGGGGCAUCUUCCUUAGGCUUGGUGAUUUUGUAUCCACUUGCCAAGAGGUACACGUACUGGCCACAGCUGAUGUUGGGGCUAACAUUAAACUGGGGUGUUCUGCUGGGUUGGAGUGAGAUGAGGGGCUCAGUGGAGCUGGCAGCCCUGAGUCUGUACGCGGCCUGCACAGUUUUUACCAUCAUUUACGAUACCAUUUACUCUCAUCAGGGUUCACAUUCAACUAUGGGGCUCUGCUGGGUUGGUCGGCUGUUCAGGGAUCCAACGAUUGGUCCGUCUGCCUGCCCCUGUAUUUCUCUUGCGUUUUGUGGACUUUGGUAUAUGACACCAUUUAUGCCCAUCAGGACAAAUACGAUGACAUGCUGAUUGGUGUGAAGUCAACAGCACUCAAGCUUGGAGACAACACAAAGCCUUGGCUGUAUGGUUUUACUGCCCUUAUGUCGGGAGGGUUAACCACAGCUGGUUUAAUGAAUGAUAUGACUUGGCCUUACUACGCUGCCGUUGCCAUCACAUGUGGAAGGCUGGCUCAGCAGACAUACUCGGUUGAUCUGAAUAGUGCUGAUGACUGCGCCAAAACUUUUCGGGGUAACUUCUACCUAGGGGUUGUGAUGUUUGUCGGCAUUAUCAUGGCCAACAUUCAGAAGUCUAAGCGACAAAGGGCUGACGAUGACGGAUUUGAAGUGGACGCUUGAUGAGAACAGAAUGUGAUGCUAUAGAACAAAAUCAAAUCAAAGACUCCCAUGUGCUCCAGCUGUGUGAUGCCAAGCUCAGGCAAAAUUAUUGUGAACUGACGUAACAUCCGAGUGGCGACAGGUUCUGCACUUAAUGCAACCACAUCAGAACAUAUAGGUUUUCCUAAAGGUCACUUAUCAUGAGCAUUACCCACCUUGUGAUGAUGUUUUCUUAUGGUCUGCUUGUUCUGUUUCUUUUAUUGUCCCUGCAGCAAAGUGACAUAACAAUAGUUUCACUUCCAAAGAAUUCAAUUCCAAUGAAGCUAAUAGGGAAACCAAAAACCUUGUCUAAUUCUUUCUUGGUUUUAAAAAAAAAAUAACGUUUGUAUUAUUUGGGUUUUUUCUUUUCCACAUAAAGUAGGCACCCCAAAGAAAAAUUUCAAAUUGUCUGAAAAUUGUUUUUAUUUACUGUAUCAGAUAGAGCUGUAGAAAUGAUGCAAUUCACAGUUCAAAUAAUUAAAAUCAGACAUUAAAUUCAAAAGUUAUCAAGAUUCAUAUUCAUUCAAAAAGUAGAAAAUUUCAUGCAGCAUACAAAAAAAAAAAAGGAAAAAGGCAGGGCUUUGAACUGUCACACAAUCAUGUCAUGACAGUGUACAUACUCAUUUAUUACUUCUUCUUGAAGUCAAGAACAAUAUAGAGGCACACAAAGACUUGAGAAAUCGUGGGACUUUGAAUAAUUUCAAUCCUAUUAACAUUGUAUGAAAAUGGCUUUUUACUGAUUUUCAGUGAACAAUUUUUGCGUACAACACACAUAAAACCAAUUUCAGAGGCCUGUUACGUGAAAAUUUAUUAUCCCAUAAAGUAGGUACCACAAUUGAAAAUUUUCAUUUGCUCAAAGCUCAAGGGAAAGACUUUUAUCCUGUAGAGCUUGUGAAACCAUGAACAACACCCAAAAAAAAAAAAAUCAAUUGAGAAAUAAAAAAGUUAUGAGUAGUUGAACAAAGAGAGGGGGGGGUGAAAACUGGAGCUUCCGAACUACGCUAAAGCCAGCAAAGGCGGCCCGACUCGGCCGUGACUGUCUAUUGAUGGAGGACUGUGGCAUAAUAACGAACCGACAAACAAUAUACCAACAAGAAGAGAAAAACUAAAACAAGUUUUGCUGGUGUCAAACCUGUUUAUUUUGUAUCAAUUGGAAAGUUAUGAGCCGAUAUAUGGAGGAUGAAAAACAGCGCGAGCGUAGACUUGUGGUACCUACAUAAAGUCAAACUUCGUGAUGUUGUUGACAGGCCUAAAUAUGUUUGCAAGAAUGGGACAAGUAAUGUCUUACCCAGUACCCGUUGGGAGAUCAGUUCUCUAACACAAAUGGAUCGCCCGACUUGCGGCCUUGAAAACAAACGCAUUUGAUUUUUAAGGUCACCAUUGUCAGGUCAGCCAGCUUGUGCGCAAAAAAGAAGGGGGGGGGGGGGUGUCUGCUUCAAAACUAAAUGUUUCGCUUAACCAGGAAAGCAGUUUCCCUAUACAGUAUAACACGGAUAGCUCGAAUUCGCUGGGACCGCCUUGGUAGUUCGAGGGAUCCUUAGUUGGAGGGAUAUGUGAACAGUGUUAUGGCAUCGGCUGUGUCAGAGAAUCAAGGGAAGCAACAAAGAUUGGGUUGGAAUAGAUUUUCUUCUUUCGGCCAUUGUCCUAGAUCAGCCUAUUGACUUGAAUUUGAAAAUUGAGAGAAUUUGAAAUUGACAGGUUGAAAAUGAGUAACACGAUGAGCAACACUUUCGAGUUCGACCGGUAAUGAGCUUCACAUUGGAAUAUUUCCAUUGACCAGGAAAAUAGGCUACAGAUUUCUUCAUUAUAUUUAGGUCUAUGUACACCAGUAUUGGGUAAAGAACGGCCUUUCAGUUGAGCCUUUUAAAAAAAUGUUUCGUUUUAGAAAAUAGCAGCUCAAUGUCUGGUAAUUCCAUUUUUUACUUUGUUUUUCUUACAGCUUCUUUUGUAUUUUAUCAUUUUGCCUGCUAUUUAAAGAGAGUGCCCCCCAUCUUUUUAAAUUAAAAAAUAAUAAAAUUAGGUCAUUUCCGUUUCUCCUAGUCAAAGGGUUUUCGUUUGAAUAACCCUACCAGGUACCCUCCUAAAACCAUGACCAAACACACCUAGCGUGACGAUCCACCCGUGGAUUCAGUUGUCGUUUUCCCACUAAUAAUUAUAGUGCUUCUACAACACAAUCAAUUUUUUUUAUGGCAGUAGUUUUAAAUAUCGGUUUGUUUCAAAGAGGAAUUAGUAAAGCUUUUUAUUUAACAAUCGCAUUGGACUAAGAAAUGUUUUCUGGGAAUCCUGAGGCUUGACUACCGUAUUUGUUUUCACCAAUCUACCUGAUUCUUUCAUGUAGCGACUACACCAUUGUUCUUGUACAUGAUUAAGUUCCUCUUCACAUGUAUUUGUUUUAUGAAGUCUAAACAGACGCCUGAUUUGGUGCCUUUUUUUAAUAAACAAAAUGUUUCUCACUUCAA